CCCCAAUGGGCUCACGCCUGAGGGAGCAACGCCGCGUGCAGGACGACGGCCUUCGGGUUGUAAACUGCGUUUUGGGGGGGACGAUGAUGACCGGUACCCCCCGAAUAAGCCUCGGCUAACUCUGUGCCAGCAGCCGCGGUAAGACAGAGGAGGCAAGCGUUGUCCGGACUGACUGGGCGUAAAGCGCGCGCAGGCGGCUGCGGGCGUCGGUGCUGAAACGCCCCCCGCGUUAACGGGGGGUCGCGUGCCGAUACGCCGCAACUUGAGGGCGGCGAGGGUGGUGGAAUUGCCGGUGUAGUGGUGAAAUGCGUAGAGAUCGGCAGGAACACCCGUGGCGAAGGCGGCCACCUAGCCCGACCCUGACGCUGAGGCGCGACAGCGGUGGGGAGCGAACCGGAUUAGAUACCCGGGUAGUCCACGCCGUAAACGAUGCCGACUCGGUCUUCGGUGCGCUAUUGGCGCGCGUCGGGGCCCAGCUUACGCGGUAAGUCGGCCGCCGUGGGACUACGAGCGCAAGACUU
This 521-nucleotide ribosomal RNA is filed under the name uncultured Chloroflexota bacterium. RNAcentral's name for it is "bacterial SSU rRNA". It matches the Rfam family "Bacterial small subunit ribosomal RNA", at positions 366 to 896 of the family's 1533-position model. Lineage: Bacteria; Bacillati; Chloroflexota. The record is from RNAcentral.